RNAcentral lists this ribosomal RNA (1000 nucleotides) under uncultured bacterium. Its description in RNAcentral is "bacterial SSU rRNA". It matches the Rfam family "Bacterial small subunit ribosomal RNA", at positions 71 to 1076 of the family's 1533-position model. The record is from RNAcentral.
CGCAAGGUGAUAAAUUUGCUGAGUGGCGGACGGGUGAGUAACGCGUGAACAAUCUGCCUUAGAGAGGGGGAUAACAGAUAGAAAUAUUUGCUAAUACCGCAUAAGACCACAAGGUCGCAUGACCAAGGGGUAAAAGGAGUAAUUCGCUUUAAGAUGAGUUUGCGUAUCAUUAGUUAGUUGGUGAGAUAACGGCCCACCAAGACUACGAUGGUUAGCCGACCUGAGAGGGUGUACGGCCACAUUGGAACUGAGACACGGUCCAGACUCCUACGGGAGGCAGCAGUGAGGAAUAUUGGGCAAUGGAGGAAACUCUGACCCAGCAACGCCGCGUGAAGGAUGAAGGUCUUCGGAUUGUAAACUUCUGUUAUAGGGGAAAAAGAAAGUGAUGGUACUCUAUGAGCAAGCUACGGCAAACUAUGUGCCAGCAGCCGCGGUAAUACAUAGGUAGCAAGCGUUAUCCGGAAUAACUGGGCGUAAAGGGAGCGUAGGUGGUUGUGCAAGUUGUAUGUGAAAGCCCUGAGCUUAACUCAGGAACUGCAUACAAAACUGUACUUCUAGAGUGUGGGAAAGGCAAGUGGAAUUCCUAGUGUAGCGGUAGAAUGCGUAGAGAUUAGGAGGAACACCAGAGGCGAAGGCGGCUUGCUGGAACACAACUGACACUGAGGCUCGAAAGCGUGGGGAGCAAACAGGAUUAGAUACCCUGGUAGUCCACGCUGUAAACGAUGGAUACUAAAUGUAGGCGGAAUCGACUCUGCCUGUAUUGAAGCUAACGCGAUAAGUAUCCCGCCUGAGUAGUACGGCCGCAAGGUUGAAACUUAAAGGAAUUGACGGGGACCCGCACAAGCAGCGGAGCAUGUUGUUUAAUUCGACGCAACUCGAAGAACCUUACCAAGGCUUGACAUUGAAUGCAUAAUAUGGAAACAUAUGAAAUUGGUGUAGCAAUACAUCAACAUUUAAACAGAUGGUGCAUGGUUGUCGUCAGCUCGUGUCGUGAGAUGUU